AACGGCUCACCUAGGCGACGAUCCCUAGCUGGUCUGAGAGGAUGACCAGCCACACUGGAACUGAGACACGGUCCAGACUCCUACGGGAGGCAGCAU
Molecule: ribosomal RNA, 96 nt
Filed under: uncultured bacterium
Lineage: Bacteria
Description: partial 16S ribosomal RNA
Rfam family: Bacterial small subunit ribosomal RNA
Source: RNAcentral